CUACGGGUCGCAGCAGUAGGGAAUAUUGCGCAAUGGGCGAAAGCCUGACGCAGCGACGCCGCGUGAGUGAUGAAGGUCCUCUGGAUUGUAAAGCUCUGUAAGGAGGGAAGAACCGCCUGGUGUAACGGCCAGGUCUGACGGUACCUCCAAAGUAAGCACCGGCUAAAUAAGUGCCAGCAGCCGCGGUAAUACUUAUGGUGCGAGCGUUGUCCGGAAUGACUGGGCGUAAAGGGUGCGUAGGCGGACUUUCAAGUCAGGUGUGAAAUCCCCGGGCUUAACCUGGGAACUGCGCUUGAAACUGGAAGUCUAGAGUAUGUGAGGGGUUAGCGGAAUUCCCGGAGUAGCGGUGAAAUGCGUGGAGAUCGGGAAGAACACCGGUGGCGAAGGCGGCUAACUGGCACAUGACUGACGCUGAGGCACGAAAGCGUGGGGAGCGAACGGGAUUAGAUACCCCGGUAGUC
RNAcentral lists this ribosomal RNA (461 nucleotides) under uncultured bacterium. RNAcentral's name for it is "partial 16S ribosomal RNA". It matches the Rfam family "Bacterial small subunit ribosomal RNA", at positions 339 to 795 of the family's 1533-position model. The record is from RNAcentral.